Long non-coding RNA from Eriocheir sinensis (Chinese mitten crab), 629 nucleotides. RefSeq lists it as uncharacterized. The record is from RefSeq and is a predicted model, not a curated record. NCBI's taxonomy places the organism in Eukaryota, Metazoa, Arthropoda, Malacostraca, Decapoda, Varunidae. The transcript has 3 exons.
AGGAGAGGUGUCCUGACACCCUCCUCUUGAAAGAGUUCAAGUCGUAGGCAGGAGGAAAUACAGAUGAAGGAAGAUUGUUCCAGAGUUUACCAGCGUGAGGGAUGAAAGAGUGAAGAUGCUGGUUAACUCUUGCAUAAGGGGUUUGGACAGUAUAGGGAUGAGCAUGAGUAGAAAGUCGUGUGCAGCGGGGCCGCGGGAGGGGGGGAGGCAUGCAGUUAGCAAGUUCAGAAGAGCAGUCAGCGUGGAAAUAUCGAUAGAAGAUAGAAAGAGAGGCAACAUUGCGGCGGAAUUUAAGAGGUAGAAGACUAUCAGUAUGAGGAGGAGAGCUGAUGAGACGAAGAGCCUUAGCCUCCACUCUGUCCAGAAGAGCUGUGUGAGUGGAGCCCCCCCACACAUGAGAUGCAUACUCCAUACGAGGGCGGACAAGGCCCCUGUAUAUGGACAGCAACUGUGCAGGGGAGAAGAACUGGCGGAGACGGUACAGAACGCCCAGCCUCGAGGAAGCUGAUUUAGUAAGAGAUGAGAUAUGAAGUGUCCAGUUGAGAUUUUGAGUUAAGGAUAGACCGAGGAUGUUUAGUGUUGAGGAAGGUGAUAGCUGAGUGUUGUCAAAGAAUAGGGGAUAGUUGUUU